Molecule: ribosomal RNA, 2191 nt
Filed under: Triticum aestivum (bread wheat)
Lineage: Eukaryota; Viridiplantae; Streptophyta; Magnoliopsida; Poales; Poaceae
Description: partial small subunit ribosomal RNA
Source: RNAcentral
GUGCGGUGCGGGGUAGAUAGAGUAGAGUAGUUUCGAGAGUAGAUAGACAGAGUAGAUCGAUCGCGCGUCGCCGUGGACUCGCGGGGUUGGUGGUGGUGCCAUCCUCGUCCGUGUGACCGUGUCCGCUGUGUGCGCAGCACGGUGGCUGGCUGGCUGACUGGGUCUGCCUCCAUCUCCGGGCCUUUUUGUUCGCACCUGGAUUAUACUACUGCUAGCCCCCGACUUCCCUGGGAAAUGGAAAGUGUUCCUUCCUCGCCAGAGAUCUAGCGCCGGUGGUACUACCUUCUCGGCUUCUUUAUUUUUAUAGCCUCAGCUCCCUACUAGGAGUUUGUUUCCCCUGACCAUUAAUUUGACCAGAAUUGUCCGUGCCCCCUAAAUCUCGCAGCAGCACAAAUUGGGCUCGCAUUUUAUUUUGACACCAAACGGCUGCUAAAAACACUAGUAGCAUACUGCCCCAAGAAGGACAGAGAGGGAGGGAGAGCUCAACGCUUAUCCUCCUCCAGCGACCCGGCUAGCCAAGAAAGUCCAGGGGAAGAGACAGAAAAGAAGAACAAGAAAGCAGUGGGAAAAAGAGGCCGGGCUCCUCGAACCUCUCACUAUUUCUCCCGUGGCUUCCUUGUCUGCCUGCCUACGCCUUCCCUUGCCUUCGGGGUUGGUGAGCGAGCUCGGGAUCAGUUGGCGACUACACACCCAGAGUUCCAGGUUCUCGGAGGAGGGGGGGAAACCAUGGGCAGCUUCGCCAAGCUGGCCAAGAGGUGCGUGGAGACGGAGGCGCCGGUCAUGGUGAAGAUACAAGAGCUGCUUCGAGGGGCCACGGAUGUGAUGUCGCUUGCGCAGGGAAUUGUUUAUUGGCAACCUCCUGAGACAGCCCUGAACAAGGUCAAGGAAAUUGUAUGGGAACCAGCAACCAGUAAAUAUGGUGCUGAUGAUGGCCUUCCCGAGCUUCGAGAAGCACUUCUCGAGAAGCUUCGCAGAGAGAAUAAGCUAACCAAGUCAUCUGUUAUGGUGACCGCUGGUGCAAAUCAGGCUUUUGUAAACCUGGUUCUGACCCUUUGCGAUGCUGGUGAUUCAGUUGUCAUGUUCGCACCAUACUAUUUCAAUUCCUUCAUGUCAUUCCAGAUGACUGGCGUCACUGAUAUAUUAGUUGGUGCUAGCAAUCCCAAGACUCUUCAUCCUGAUGUUGAUUGGUUGGAGAAGGUGCUGAAAGAAAAUAACCCUAUCCCUAAACUUGUUACUGUUGUCAAUCCGGGAAACCCAUCUGGAGCUUUUAUUCCCAAGCCUAUGCUACAGAGAAUUUCAGACCUGUGCAGGAAUGCUGGUGCAUGGCUGGUGGUUGACAACACCUAUGAGUACUUCAUGUAUGAUAAAAUGGAGCACUACUGCCUAGAGGAUGAUCAUAUUGUCAACCUUUUCUCGUUCUCAAAGGCUUAUGGCAUGAUGGGGUGGCGAGUAGGAUACAUUGCAUAUCCAAGUGAAGCCGAUGGUUUCCACGCGCAGCUCCUUAAGGUGCAAGAUAACAUACCUAUCUGUGCUUCCAUCAUCGGGCAGCGCCUGGCUCUAUACUCAUUGGAGGCCGGCCCAGAGUGGAUCAGGGAAAGGGUGAAUGAUCUCGUGAAAAACCGCGAGCUGCUUGUGGAAGCAAUGUCUCCCCUUGGUGAGGAUGCUGUCAAGGGUGGGGAGGGUGCCAUCUAUCUCUGGGCUAAACUACCAGAUAACUGUUCAGACGACUUUGAGGUUGUCAGGUGGCUCGCGACCAAGCACGGCGUCGCAGUGAUCCCCGGGAGCGCCAGCGGAGGCCCCGGAUACAUCCGUGUUUCUUUUGGAGGACUGAAAGAAGAAGACACAAGGCUCGCCGGCGAGAGGCUAAGGCGGGGAUUGCAAGAGCUGGUGACCGAUGGGAUGGUACAGUAACAACAGCCCACCGUAUGUAAGACAGUAAGAGUACAUUUCUACAUUCAGAUCACACAAGUCCGAUUUUUUCGACGAUAUGAUUCUGCUGGGAUUAGUUCAUUCAGAGGAGCAAAAGCACCAUAUAUCCAAGUCUUUUGUAUCUUACAGAAUCACCAUGCUGGAGGUGCCCAAUAGGAAUGGCAAUUGGUGUAGUGAGAAUUGGGGCAAAAUAAAAAGCCAUCCAGCCCCGUGGUGUCGUAAUUCUCUGUUCGGUACUUCCUGCUGUUUAAUUUACCCUCCC